This is a non-coding RNA of Parcubacteria group bacterium CG1_02_41_26, 961 nucleotides long. The record is from Rfam.
GAGUUUGAUCCUAGCUCAGGAUGAACGUUGGCGGCGUGGAUAAGGCAUGCAAGUCGCGCGAUCGUUUGUGCCUUUUUGGGUAUUUGAAAGUAGCGAGUGUAUGAGGUCAGACCUCCCCGAUACUGGGGCCCAGUUUUUUGGAGGUCUGACCUCAUACACUCGCUACCACAUUAACACCCAAAAAGGCGCAAACGAUAGCGGCGAACGAGUUAGUAACACGUGGGAACUAACCUAUAAGACUCGCAUAAUUCCGCGAAAGCGGAACUAAUACGAGAUGGUCUCUGUCUGUAAAAAGAUAAGAGUAAAGGAGAAAUCCGCUUAUAGAUAGGCCCGCGGCCUAUCAGCUUGUUGGUGGGGUAAUGGCCUACCAAGGCGAUGACGGGUAGGGGGCGUGAGAGCGCGUUCCCCAACGAUAGCACUGCGACACGGGCUAUACACCUACGGGUGGCUGCAGUCGAGAAUCUUCGGCAAUGGGCGCAAGCCUGACCGAGCGACGCCGCGUGCGGGAAGAAGAUCUUAGGGUUGUAAACCGCUUUUAUUAGGGAGGAACUUCGGUGACUGUACCUAAUGAAUAAGGGGGGGCUAAUCACGUGCCAGCAGCAGCGGUAAUACGUGACCCUCAAACGUUAUCCGGAUUUAUUGGGCGUAAAGAGUCUUAAGGCGGUUAAGUAAGUCCUUGGUCAAAUCUUCGGGGCUCAACCUCGAAACCGCCAGGGAAACUGCUUUUCUAGAGGACGUUAGAGGCCAGAGGAACGCACGGUGUAGGGGUGAAAUCCGUUGAUAUCGUGCGGAACACCAAAAGCGAAGGCAUCUGGCUGGGGCGAUCCUGACGCUGAACGACGAAAGCUAGAGCAGAAAAAAGGAUUAGAUACCCUUGUAUUUCUAGCUGUAAACGAUGGAUACUAGCUGGUGGAAGUAUCGACCCUUUCACUGGCGAAGCUAACGCGUUAAGUAUCUCGCC